This 288-nucleotide ribosomal RNA is filed under the name uncultured bacterium. RNAcentral describes it as "partial 16S ribosomal RNA". It matches the Rfam family "Bacterial small subunit ribosomal RNA", at positions 775 to 1067 of the family's 1533-position model. The record is from RNAcentral.
GGAUUAGAUACCCUGGUAGUCCAUGCUGUAAACGAUGAUCACUAGGUGUUCGGGAUUAUUCCUGAGUGCCCAAGGGAAACCGAUAAGUGAUCCACCUGGGGAGUACGUUGGCAACAAUGAAACUCAAAGGAAUUGACGGGGGCCCGCACAAGCGGUGGAGCAUGUGGUUUAAUUCGAUGAUACGCGAGGAACCUUACCUGGGCUACAAUGCCUCUGACAGCUGCCGAAAGGUGGUUUCUCUUCGGAGCAGAGUGCAAGGUGCUGCAUGGUUGUCGUCAGCUCGUGCCG